This 282-nucleotide ribosomal RNA is filed under the name uncultured bacterium. RNAcentral describes it as "partial 16S ribosomal RNA". It matches the Rfam family "Bacterial small subunit ribosomal RNA", at positions 542 to 822 of the family's 1533-position model. The record is from RNAcentral.
UGUCCGGAUUUACUGGGUGUAAAGGGUGCGUAGGCGGCUUUGCAAGUCAGAUGUGAAAUCUAUGGGCUCAACCCAUAAACUGCAUUUGAAACUGUAGAGCUUGAGUGAAGUAGAGGCAGGCGGAAUUCCCCGUGUAGCGGUGAAAUGCGUAGAGAUGGGGAGGAACACCAGUGGCGAAGGCGGCCUGCUGGGCUUUAACUGACGCUGAGGCACGCAAAGCGUGGGUAGCAAACAGGAUUAGAUACCCUGGUAGUCCACGCUGUAAACGAUGAUUACUAGGUG